RNAcentral lists this ribosomal RNA (254 nucleotides) under uncultured bacterium. Its description in RNAcentral is "partial 16S ribosomal RNA". It matches the Rfam family "Bacterial small subunit ribosomal RNA", at positions 524 to 776 of the family's 1533-position model. The record is from RNAcentral.
UACGUAGGGAGCAAGCGUUGUUCGGAUUUACUGGGCGUAAAGGGCGCGUAGGCGGCAGAUUAAGUCAGCUGGGAAAUCUCCGAGCUUAACUCGGAACUGUCAGCUGAUACUGUUUUGCUAGAGUGCGGAAGGGGCAAUCGGAAUUCUUGGUGUAGCGGUGAAAUGCGUAGAUAUCAAGAGGAACACCUGAGGUGAAGACGGGUUGCUGGGCCGACACUGACGCUGAGUGCGCGAAAGCCAGGGGAGCAAACGGG